RNAcentral lists this long non-coding RNA (1465 nucleotides) under Macaca fascicularis (crab-eating macaque). Its description in RNAcentral is "lncRNA (ENSMFAG00000051053.1)". The record is from RNAcentral. Lineage: Eukaryota; Metazoa; Chordata; Mammalia; Primates; Cercopithecidae.
CACCAGUUUCCAGUUUUGAAUUCUUGGGUCUUUAGAAUCCCACGUUGGAACACGAGGGCAUUGAGAGCACCAGUCUUCCUCUCCCGUUCUCUUCCCAUUCCUCACACCUCCCACACCCCCCGGCGCCUCGCACACACCUGUGUGGACGUGUCAGCCCUCGGGUCUGAGGCCAUGCCCACCUAUCGUGCCCUUCACCCUCAGGAGGAAGGACCCACCAUGAGUCCUGCCUGGUCCUAGCCCUGGACUUGGGCCUUCUGGGCAGGGAAUGCCGGAGUCCGUGUUCUAGAAGGAAAGGCAUCAGCUCCAUAUCCCCCGGCCCCGUGGAUCCCUCAUCCCAGAGGAAAGAUGGUGCCGGAGGCAGGCCAGGACAGGCGCUGCACUUACCCAGGCCCAAGGGUGCCCCAACAGAGAAGGGAUCUUGCUUCUCUCAUGUCCCCUCCAUAAGUACAAUUUUGGGGUUCCAUUCCAUUUUAUAAACACAAGCAAACACACACACACAGAGACUUUGUAUUCUGUGGUCGGGGAUGGGAAGGAGGGAACAGAAAACAUGGCCACAUAGCCAACCUCGCUAGGGCUGAGCAGGUGUCAAACAGACCCAACAGCCACAACGAACCCGGCCAGCGGGAAGUGAGCAUGGGACGGCAGUUUCCUAUCACCUUGAGGUGAUUCUGUCAAAGGCAGCAAACACGACUUAAUUUACGCUAGCCAGCAGGAAAAUACAGUCUUCCUGAUGCACCAAAAUAAGCCAGAUUGCCUAGGAGAGAAACAGACGCAAUUCAGGUUCCUGAAAGAACAUUCUAGAACCCUGAACGGACAGGCUGGCAAGACCAACUUGUCUUUCCCUGGAAAAGACCUGGCCGUGCUCAUGCCCCAGCCCUUCUAGAAGGAGGGAAGAGCCACCCCUACCACAUCCGAGGCAGCGCUGUGUGCAGCCCACAGCCACGUCUACAGACAGCAUCCUCGGCUCCUUGAUGUUUCACGUUGAUCUCGCCCCAUUGUCUCCACUUUUGGAAUUUGCUUUAUUUUCUUCAGCUCCAUUUGCCACCAGCUCUUAUCUGGGGGAGGAGUGGUGCUUCACGGCCCUGCAAAUUGCCAGCUCUCUGCUGAAACGACGCACCCUCGGCUGUCAGGGAGAGAAGCUUCAGCUCUUCCUGCUGAAUGAUGAUGAAGGAGCGAAUCAAAGGCUCGGUCAAGUGAGGAGGAUGGAAUCAGAAAAACAAAAAUCAGAAUUCUGGGCAAGCCAGGCUGAGCCACACAAAUCAGCUGAUGUGUCUAUCACUAAAGAAACACUCCAUUUGUCAAGGACAUCCUAGAGGAAAUCCCAGUUCCCUCUGGACGUCAUGAUGCAUGCAGUGGCCAGUAGGUGGCCUGCGGUGUCUAAGGGACAGCCCCUCUCCAGCUUCCAAAGCUGGGAAAAUUGGAAAACUUAGGAGCCAGCUAAUAGUUCUUCUAAAAAAAAAAAAAA